GCCGCGGUAAUUCCAGCUCCAAUAGCGUAUAUUAACGUUGUUGCAGUUAAAAAGCUCGUAGUUGAAGUGUGGGUGGUGCCAUCUGUGAAGCUUCGGCUUCUAGGAUACUCACUACCCCCUUCCAGUAUCCAGUAGUGGGUAUUCAGUUACUUACUAUUGUGUGUUGGUCGUUUACUGUGAGAAAAUUAGAGUGUUCAAAGCAGGCGUUUGCUUGAAUAGAUUAGCAUGGAAUAAUAAUUGAAGGCUUUCGUGUUCGAUUUGAUUGGUUUGUUCAUGGAAGCAAGGUUAAAAGGAACAGUUGGGGGUAUUCAUAUUCACUAGUUAGAGGUGAAAUUCUCGGAUUUAUGGAAGAUGAACAAGUGCGAAAGCAUUUACCAAGGAUGUUUUCAUUAAUCAAGAACGAAGG
RNAcentral lists this ribosomal RNA (406 nucleotides) under Blastocystis sp. Its description in RNAcentral is "SSU rRNA". It matches the Rfam family "Eukaryotic small subunit ribosomal RNA", at positions 573 to 989 of the family's 1831-position model. The record is from RNAcentral. Lineage: Eukaryota; Bigyra; Opalinata; Blastocystidae.